UCAGAUAACCUGUCUAACAAUAACCUAAGGACCACAGGAGAAAGAAAAUAACAACCUUGUAUGGGUUCAUAAGCUAAUUCAGCCUAAUUGCUAUCUAGGCAUGAAUCAGAACAGUUCAGUUGGAUGGGACCUUUUAAGAUCACAAAGAACAACUUCCUGACCACUUCAGGGCUAACCAAAAUUUGAAGUAUACUACUGAGGACUGUCGAACACUGACAGGCUUGGGGCAUCAGCCACCUCACUGGGAAGCCUGUUCCAAUGUUUGACCACCCUUACAGUGAAGAAAUUUUUCCGAAUAUCCAAUCUGAACAGCUUUCUGCCAUUCCCAUGCAUCCUGCCAUCAGCUCCAAAGGAACACAGUCCAGCACAUCCCUUUCCACUUCCUCUCCUCAGGAAGCCUGAGAGGAAAGAGAUCUCGUAUUACGGAAACCAUUUCACAAACACAAAACCAAAGAUUCUUAAAUAUGGUACAGGGAUACAAAAAUCAGUAGGAGCUUUGUUAAGAUCAGCAUGCCACAGUAUUAGGCCCUAGUUUUGAACAUCCUGGAAAGCAAACAUUUUCCUUGAAAACUCAAAAACUGCUCAAAUAACUUGCCUGGCUGUCCUUGAACAUCAGGAUGCUCCUUUUGAAAUUCUUCUUUCUUUUUAUCCAAUUCUUGUUGAAAGUGUUCAAACUCUUCUUGAUAUUUUUCUUUAUCUUUUUGAGGAAUUUCUGCAUCUGGUGUGGGCUUUAAAACAUUAUCAAAGGUAAGGGGGAAGAGAGAAGAUUUUCUACCACUCCUAUAUGACACACUGUCCAGCAAAUGCUGUCUAGACUUCAGGUCUGAUGGCAUGACAAUUUGUGAAGCGCAUGUAUUAACAUAUGUUAACAAUGUAUUAACGUAGAAGCAAGAAACCAGGCAUUCGCAUGGAAACUCAUGGCUUUUUCCUGAAAAGCCUACUUUCUGCAAUUAUAAAGAAGUCAAGUUUUACAAGAACAGAUGAGGAUUAACAGUACAAAAGUGUUCUACAGGAAUGCAAAGUUGAAAGUGAAAACAAAUUUGUCCAAAGUGUACCUUUGUUUGUUUUCUUUGCAUUUUUUGUUUUAAUAUCAGGAUUAUCAUCGAUUCAGUGUUACUUCAAGAGUUCUGGUCCUAAAUGUAACUAAACUACUGAAAUACUAUAGCAUUGAUCUUAUUUUUCCAAAACAGAUGACUGCACAGCUCCAUGCCAAAAUUUAGAAACAGGGAUGCUAAUUAUGACUGCAGAAAAAAAUGCCAAGAUCUGGUGCUAUACAUAUAUUAGCACAUUUUACUAGUUAUGCAUAGAGACACUUACUACUUCCUUCCCAGGCUCAGUCAACUGGAAA
Anas platyrhynchos (mallard) is the source of this 1348-nucleotide non-coding RNA. Lineage: Eukaryota; Metazoa; Chordata; Aves; Anseriformes; Anatidae. The record is from RefSeq and is a predicted model, not a curated record.